This is a long non-coding RNA of Neofelis nebulosa (Clouded leopard), 1259 nucleotides long. RefSeq lists it as uncharacterized. The transcript has 3 exons. The record is from RefSeq and is a predicted model, not a curated record. NCBI's taxonomy places the organism in Eukaryota, Metazoa, Chordata, Mammalia, Carnivora, Felidae.
UAGGAGACUCCAUUCUGCCACUUGGUUUCCUGUGGCCCAUUCAUUUAUUAGAUCAAAUAAGUGAUCUUGAGUGGAUUGAUUGUUAAACAUGUAUCCAAGCUAAUUUAUUGUUGCAGAAUCUACAUAUAGUCCGUAAAUGUCUCUGUACCACUGCUGUUGGAAGGCAGUUAUUUCCUAAUGUAAUCCUUUGUCUGACGCAUUGCCUCAGCCAGACUCUCAUUUUCACAUUCCUCCUGGUGAGAGUCCUACACCAAUCAAGGCCCAUCAAGACCCUCUCCAUCCCUUGAAUUCCCUCUUUGGAAGAUCAGAAUACUGACAUAUUUCUCCAAGACACUUCACAAUGUCAGAAUUUUCAGCCUCAAAAUUCUAUACUCUGAAGUUGAAUAAGGGGCAAAGGCUGGAAGACCUGGCGUAAUUCUUCCAAGUGUUGAUUAUAUGGCCUAGACUUUGCUUUAGAAUGUGGGCCCCAUUAUUCUCAGAUUUGGGAGGUUUAAAAAACCGAGACAGAAAGAAUCCCAUUUGAUAGUCUGUCAUGUUAGAUAGGCAAAACUUAUUCAUUGAACCACCAAGGUUAUGCAAGGAAGUUUGUGAUCAAUACCUACAUGAGGAAUAGCAUGUUGGUAAUAGGUAGUAGUAUUUACUCCCUAUGUGUGUGUGAUCUGGCUUCAGGGAUGCUAGUCAGAAUAAAGGGCAAGAGAUAUACAAAACAGAAACAAGUGCUUCCUUUCAUAAAUAAUUCUUUGUAUAGAUCAGACAGACUGGUAAGUGUUGGAGGCUCUGGGUAUGAGUCAGUAGAGCUCCUUCUCAAGGUCUGUGCUACUUUUUGUCAUGUUAGGACGACAGAACUGGACUCACGACCCCCAACUGAGUUAAACCCUAAGACCUAGUUUUCAAAGACCGGAUGUACAUGCCACCACAUGCUAUAUAUAAUAUGCAAGAUAACCCCCUUCAAUAAUGGAAAUGAAGAAGCUCCGUUGAACAGAGAAGAACACCAGGAACAUGGACAAAAGCUCAGUACGGGUAUAGGUGUGACGAGCAACAAAAGGCUGCAGUGACAUAUUGUGCCAUAAACAAACGUACGAUGUAAACCUGUUCUUAGAGAAUUGAGCACAUUAGGAGGUUAAAUUCUUCCUGGAACAUGAAGACUCUCCUAAACAGUAGAGAACUACUCAUUCUCUUUUCUAAAACUUCAAUACACCAUCCUCUCAACUGCAUUCAACAUUGAAUUGUCAUAAAUAAACAUCAUUCAUGGAAGCAUA